This is a ribosomal RNA of Scophthalmus maximus (turbot), 119 nucleotides long. The record is from Ensembl. Lineage: Eukaryota; Metazoa; Chordata; Actinopteri; Pleuronectiformes; Scophthalmidae.
GCUUACGGCCACACCGCCUGGUUCACGCCCGAUCUCGUUUGAUCUCGGAAGCUAAGAUAGGGUUGGCCUGGUUAGUACUUGGAUGGGAGACCGCCUGGAAAUACCAGGUGCUGUAAGAU